RNAcentral lists this ribosomal RNA (784 nucleotides) under uncultured Neocallimastigales. RNAcentral's name for it is "partial large subunit ribosomal RNA". It matches the Rfam family "Eukaryotic large subunit ribosomal RNA", at positions 23 to 628 of the family's 3401-position model. The record is from RNAcentral. Lineage: Eukaryota; Fungi; Neocallimastigomycota; Neocallimastigomycetes; Neocallimastigales.
GAGACUCUGUGCGCGUGCAUAUCAAUAAGCGGAGGAAAAGAAACUAACAAGGAAUUCCCCUUAGUAACGGCGAGUGAAGCGGGAAGAGCUCAAAUUUGAAAUCUUCAAGGGUUCUACCUUUACGAAUUGUAGUUUAUAGAAGUGUUUUCUGUUAGUAGGAGUGGCAAAAGUUCUUUGGAAUAGGACAUCAUAGAGGGUGAGAAUCCCGUAUUUGGUCAUUCCUUCCUAGCUGUUGUGAUACACUUUCAACGAGUCGGAUUGUUUGGGAAUGCAGUCCAAAAUGGGUGGUAAAUUUCAUCUAAAGCUAAAUAUUGGCGAGAGACCGAUAGCGAACAAGUACCGUGAGGGAAAGAUGAAAAGAACUUUGAAAAGAGAGUUAAACAGUACGUGAAAUUGUCAAAAGGGAAGCGUUUGACACCAGUGUUGUUUUUCCGAAAAUCUAAUUACGAAUGUUUUGUUUUUGAGGAGUUAUGACCUCAUCGGCUUGCUUCUCUCUUUACUGAAACUUUCUUAACGCACUUUUCGGUUAACAAGUCAACAUCAAUUUCUUUUGUUGUAAAAGGGUACGAGGAAGGUGGCUUUCUUUUCGGAGAAAGUGUUUAUAGCCUUGUGCCUCUGCAAUCGGAGAGAUUGAGGUCUGCAGCGUAGAUCCUUCGGGGUUAGAUACAGUUUGCUGCUAAGUUAUAGCUUUUCAUAGACAACUUGUUGACUAUGUUUAGUCUUGUAGCUUACUCGCUUAUGCUAUUUUACCUACGCUUAGGAUGUUGACAGCAGUAUAGACUGU